AUGCAAAGAACUUUGAAAAGAGAGUUAAAGAGUACCUGAAAUUGCUGAAAGGGAAGCGAAGGAAACCAGUGUUUGCUUAGUCAUAUUUCCCUGGCCGCUUGCGGCUUGGGCGCUGUGUCUGGCUUGAGUUGUGCUUGGUUACCGGCCUUGGAAGAGCGCUGAAGGAGUUGACUUCGGUUGCUAGCAUUGGGCGGUGACUGAGCAGGACGAAAUGGUUUUCUUUACCCCGUCUUGAAACACGGACCAAGGAGUCUAACAUAUGUGCGAGUACAGGGGUGGCAAACCCCCGUGCGCAAUGAAAGUGACAGUGGUUGGAUAUUUGCACAAUCCGCCGGCCUCAAUCCCUCGGGAGAACGGUCUGAGUGUGAGCAUACAUGUUGGGACCCGAAAGAUGGUGAACUAUGCCUGAAUAGGGUGAAGCCAGGGGAAACUCUGGUGGAGGCUCGUAGCGAUUCUGACGUGCAAAUCGAUCGUCAAAUUUGGGUAUAGGGGCGAAAGACUAAUCGAACCAUCUAGUAGCUGGUUCCCUCCGAAAUUUCCCUCAGGAUAGCUGCGAUCGGAGUUCAAUUUUAUCA
This 575-nucleotide ribosomal RNA is filed under the name Psammodictyon constrictum. Its description in RNAcentral is "eukaryotic LSU rRNA". It matches the Rfam family "Eukaryotic large subunit ribosomal RNA", at positions 364 to 1006 of the family's 3401-position model. Lineage: Eukaryota; Bacillariophyta; Bacillariophyceae; Bacillariales; Bacillariaceae. The record is from RNAcentral.